RNAcentral lists this transfer RNA (70 nucleotides) under Marmota monax (woodchuck). RNAcentral's name for it is "tRNA.Ser". The record is from RNAcentral. Lineage: Eukaryota; Metazoa; Chordata; Mammalia; Rodentia; Sciuridae.
GGGCUGGGGCUGAGUGGCAGAGUACUUGCCUAGAGUGCAUGAGGCACUGGGUUCGAUUCUCAGCACCACA